Molecule: ribosomal RNA, 255 nt
Filed under: uncultured bacterium
Lineage: Bacteria
Description: partial 16S ribosomal RNA
Rfam family: Bacterial small subunit ribosomal RNA
Source: RNAcentral
UACGGAGGGUGCUAGCGUUGUUCGGAAUUACUGGGCGUAAAGCGCGUGUAGGCGGCCGAUUAAGUCUGGUGUGAAAGCCCGGGGCUCACCCCCGGAAGUGCGCUGGAAACUGGUCGGCUAGAGUAUGGGAGAGGAAAGUGGAAUUCCCGGUGUAGCGGUGAAAUGCGUAGAGAUCCGGAAGAACACCGGUGGCGAAGGCGGCCUGCUGGGCAGUUUAGCUGACACUGAGGCGCGACAGCGUGGGGAGCAAACAGG